UACGGAGGGUGCGAGCGUUGUCCGGAAUCACUGGGCGUAAAGGGCGCGUAGGCGGCCUGAUAAGUAGGGGGUGAAAUCCUGCGGCUUAACCGCAGGGCUGCCUUCUAAACUGUCAGGCUAGAGCACAGUAGAGGCAGGUGGAAUUCCCGGUGUAGCGGUGGAAUGCGUAGAGAUCGGGAAGAACAUCAGUGGCGAAGGCGGCCUGCUGGGCCGACACUGACACUGAGAGACGAAAGCUAGGGGAGCGAAUGGG
This 253-nucleotide ribosomal RNA is filed under the name uncultured bacterium. Its description in RNAcentral is "partial 16S ribosomal RNA". It matches the Rfam family "Bacterial small subunit ribosomal RNA", at positions 524 to 776 of the family's 1533-position model. The record is from RNAcentral.